Molecule: transfer RNA, 82 nt
Filed under: Microbacterium sp. CFBP 13617
Lineage: Bacteria; Bacillati; Actinomycetota; Actinomycetes; Micrococcales; Microbacteriaceae
Also listed under: 3 other names
Description: tRNA-Leu
Rfam family: tRNA
About the family: Transfer RNA (tRNA) molecules are approximately 80 nucleotides in length. Their secondary structure includes four short double-helical elements and three loops (D, anti-codon, and T loops).
Source: RNAcentral
GCGGGAGUGGUGGAAUCGGUAGACACGCAGGAUUUAGGUUCCUGUGCCUUCGGGCGUGGGGGUUCAAGUCCCCCCUUCCGCA